CUUGUGUUACGGGGAAUUCUUAUCAGCUGAGUUAGUCAGUGCUUACCAUUCCCUACAGCCAUUGCGACCAGCAGGGGCCACCAGCCUGAGGAAGACCAAUUUCCCUUCUUCUCCCAUCUCCUCACUUCUCAUGUGUCACAGUCAUAACUAUCAGCAGAGGGAGAGUGAAGAAGCACAAGUUACUUGAUAGACUUCCUCAAAUAGCUAAGUCCUCUUCUCUGAGCCGAUCAAGCUCUUCCUCCUCGUUCAGACUGCCGGUAGAGCAGUCAGAAACCCUGCCCCAUGUCCCAGACCUGUUCCUGUACAAAAAUCUGUUGCUGCUCUCCUCUCGAUCAUCAAAAGUACCCGGCAAUGCAGAAACGUGAUGACAAGGCUGGAUCAGUGCAGAUAUCUGCCCAUCCUACCUGAACAAUAAAGGAAGACAUGCUCAGUCUCAGGUUUGACACUGAUUUUUAUUCAUUAUACAGGUAAGCCCCAUUGAAUUGCCAUGAUAUAUGCUAACUGACACACAGAGAGACACACAGGAAGGGACACAAAUUUCAAAUAAGAUAUCAGGAUCAAUUAGGAUAAAACCAAUCUGUUCUUUGAUUAAAAUGUGGGCCCAAAGUAUAAUAGUAACGACAAU
Molecule: long non-coding RNA, 625 nt
Filed under: Fukomys damarensis (Damara mole-rat)
Lineage: Eukaryota; Metazoa; Chordata; Mammalia; Rodentia; Bathyergidae
Description: lncRNA (ENSFDAG00000028820.1)
Source: RNAcentral